Molecule: ribosomal RNA, 247 nt
Filed under: uncultured bacterium
Lineage: Bacteria
Description: partial 16S ribosomal RNA
Rfam family: Bacterial small subunit ribosomal RNA
Source: RNAcentral
AACGUAGGGAACCUGCCCAUGCGGCCGGGACAACUUCCGGAAACGGAUGCUGAUACCGGAUAAGGAAAGCGAAGGCAUCUUUGCUUUGUUAAAGGAGCUGCAAGGCUCCGCGCAUGGAUGGACCUGCGGUGCAUUAGCUGGUUGGUGAGGUAAAGGCUCACCAAGGCGACGAUGCAUAGCCGGCCUGAGAGGGCGAACGGCCACACUGGGACUGAGACACGGCCCAGACUCCUACGGGAGGCAGCAG